UACGAUGGGGGCUAGCGUUGUUCGGAUUUACUGGGCGUAAAGGGCGCGUAGGCGGAUUUUUAAGUCAGGGGUGAAAUCCCAGGGCUCAACCCUGGAACGGCCUUUGAUACUGGGAAUCUGGAGUUCGGGAGAGGUGAGUGGAAUUCCGAGUGUAGAGGUGAAAUUCGUAGAUAUUCGGAGGAACACCAGAAGCGAAGGCGGCUCACUGGCCCGAUACUGACGCUGAGGCGCGAAAGCGUGGGGAGCAAACAGG
This 253-nucleotide ribosomal RNA is filed under the name uncultured bacterium. RNAcentral describes it as "partial 16S ribosomal RNA". It matches the Rfam family "Bacterial small subunit ribosomal RNA", at positions 524 to 776 of the family's 1533-position model. The record is from RNAcentral.